CGUGGGUAACCUGCCCAAGAGAUCGGGAUAACACCUGGAAACAGAUGCUAAUACCGGAUAACAACAGAUGAUGCCUAUCAACUGUUUAAAAGAUGGUUCUGCUAUCACUCUUGGAUGGACCUGCGGUGCAUUAGCUAGUUGGUAGGGUAACGGCCUACCAAGGCGAUGAUGCAUAGCCGAGUUGAGAGACUGAUCGGCCACAUUGGGACUUAGACACGGCCCAAACUCCUACGGGAGGCAGCAGCC
RNAcentral lists this ribosomal RNA (246 nucleotides) under uncultured Lactobacillus sp. RNAcentral's name for it is "partial 16S ribosomal RNA". It matches the Rfam family "Bacterial small subunit ribosomal RNA", at positions 116 to 355 of the family's 1533-position model. The record is from RNAcentral. Lineage: Bacteria; Bacillati; Bacillota; Bacilli; Lactobacillales; Lactobacillaceae.